GGGAGGUGAUGAGUGGUCACACUUGCAAUUUGAAAAAAUGCGAGAUGGGUGCUCAGCCCAAAGCCUGGUUACGACAAUUUGGGUACUCCCAUUUUUAUCCAAUCUGAUCCC
Small nucleolar RNA from Camellia sinensis, 111 nucleotides. RefSeq annotates it as small nucleolar RNA Z279/snoR105/snoR108. Lineage: Eukaryota; Viridiplantae; Streptophyta; Magnoliopsida; Ericales; Theaceae. The record is from RefSeq and is a predicted model, not a curated record.